UACAUAGGGGGCAAGCGUUAUCCGGAAUUACUGGGUGUAAAGGGUGCGUAGGCGGUUAGAUAAGUCAGAUGUGAAAACUCAUUGCUCAACGAUGAGAAUGCAUUUGAAACUGUCUGACUAGAGUAUGGGAGAGGUAAGUGGAAUUCCUAGUGUAGCGGUAAAAUGCGUAGAUAUUAGGAAGAACACCAGUGGCGAAGGCGACUUACUGGACCAAAACUGACGCUGAGGCACGAAAGCGUGGGGAGCAAACAGG
Molecule: ribosomal RNA, 253 nt
Filed under: uncultured bacterium
Lineage: Bacteria
Description: partial 16S ribosomal RNA
Rfam family: Bacterial small subunit ribosomal RNA
Source: RNAcentral